CAGUAGCCGCGGGAAAACAUAGGGUGCGAGCGUUAAUCGGAUUUACUGGGCGUAAAGCGUGCGUAGGCGGCUAAUUGAGUCGGAUGUGAAAUCCCCGAGCUUAACUUGGGAAUUGCAUUCGAUACUGGUUAGCUAGAGUGUGGGAGAGGAUGGUAGAAUUCCAGGUGUAGCGGUGAAAUGCGUAGAGAUCUGGAGGAAUACCGAUGGCGAAGGCAGCCAUCUGGCCUAACACUGACGCUGAGGUACGAAAGCAUGGGGAGCAAACAGGAUUAGAUACCCCCGUAGUCCCUGUCUCUUAUAC
RNAcentral lists this ribosomal RNA (301 nucleotides) under uncultured bacterium. RNAcentral's name for it is "partial 16S ribosomal RNA". It matches the Rfam family "Bacterial small subunit ribosomal RNA", at positions 509 to 807 of the family's 1533-position model. The record is from RNAcentral.